Small nucleolar RNA from Raphanus sativus (radish), 83 nucleotides. RefSeq annotates it as small nucleolar RNA snoR114. The record is from RefSeq and is a predicted model, not a curated record. NCBI's taxonomy places the organism in Eukaryota, Viridiplantae, Streptophyta, Magnoliopsida, Brassicales, Brassicaceae. The transcript has a single exon.
GAGCUAUGAAGAAAAAUGCUUUAGCGUUGGUUGGGUCCAUCGCCUUAUUCUGAUUAUCAGAUGAUAGCAUCCAUGCUGAGCUC